CAGUAGUCACGAGUUUGAUCCUGGCUCAGGAUGAACGCUAGCGGUAUGCUUAACACAUGCAAGUCGUACGGGAGUUUUUAACUCAAGUGGCGGACGGGUGAGUAACACGUGAGAAUUUACCUUUAGGAGGGGGAUAACAAUUGGAAACGAUUGCUAAUACCCCAUAUGCUUUUUUAAGUGAAACGGAUUUAUUCGCCUAAAGAAAAGCUCGCGGCUGAUUAGCUAGUUGGUAAGGUAAUGGCUUACCAAGGCGACGACCAGUAUCUGGUUUGAGAGGACGAUCAGACACACUGGAACUGAGACACGGUCCAGACUCCUACGGGAGGCAGCAGUGGGGAAUUUUCCGCAAUGGGCGAAAGCCUGACGGAGCAAUACCGCGUGAGGGAAGACUGCCUAUGGGUUGUAAACCUCUUUUUUCAGGGAGGAAUAAAAUGACGUGUACCUGAAGAAUAAGCAUCGGCUAACUCCGUG
Molecule: ribosomal RNA, 471 nt
Filed under: uncultured bacterium
Lineage: Bacteria
Description: bacterial SSU rRNA
Rfam family: Bacterial small subunit ribosomal RNA
Source: RNAcentral